UGGAGGAGUAACAUCUCCCCGUCCCCGGCUCUCGUUAUGUAGCCGCUAACUGCUGUUUAUUGUCCCUGAAGAAGACCUAAACCUGGUCGAAACGUUGGAUGAGUAACAUCUCCCCGUCCCGGGCUCUCGUUAUGUAGCCGCUAACUGCUGUUUAUUGUCCCUGAAGAAGACCUAAACCUGGUCGAAACGUUGGAUGUACAGUAAGAUGAUUCUCAUGUUUUGUCGGACUCAAGAAAAAUAAACGGCAAAGAACAACCCUUUCUCCGUUUUGUUUGCUAAUAGCUAAGUCAUGCUGGAGCUAAAUGCUAAUGCUAAGCGGGCCUACAAGCUAACUGAGGCUACCGCUAGCGAGUCCAUAGACAUUGAGGCGAACUACGCACAACAUGAGGCGAACGCGAACGCGGCACGAGAUAUGAUGAUGCAAUAACAUCGAAGCACGGGGGCUGGAGAGGAGAGAGACGACGCACACGCGAUGACCUGCCAAC
Long non-coding RNA from Gasterosteus aculeatus aculeatus (three-spined stickleback), 485 nucleotides. The record is from Ensembl. Lineage: Eukaryota; Metazoa; Chordata; Actinopteri; Perciformes; Gasterosteidae.